AACUUAGAUAACUACCUGGCAGAUAUCCUUUGAUUUGUAUUCCUGCAUUAAGUAGAGGGGUGGACUCGAUGGCCGUAUAGGCUCCUUCCAACUUCAUUAUUCUAUGAUUCUGUGGAGUUCUUCCCCCCUUAAUUCUGCUAAAGCUUUUAGUGUCACUUUAUGAUAUAAAUUUAAGCAGUGAUAUAAAAUAAACUAGAUUGUUAAAAAACUCUUUGCACUGGAAUCUGUAUCUAAUUUGAUAUUUAAAUAUAUCCCACUAGCCUACUGCAACUGAACAUCAUAGUUUACGAACUUAUAAAAGUAAUACAAGGUGUUUGACUCUUGUUAUCUGUCUGUCUGUCUAUUUUGCAGUUCAAAGUGAUGUACGAAAGGACGAGUUUUAUCAAAGUUGUUAUAAGCCACUGUAUGAAGUUGAUGCCCAAAAAGCCUUUACAUCAGUGAAGAAAGCUAUCGUGUUUUAUAACCAAAGGAACGCUAAUUGGGGAAUUGAUUGAAAGGCAAUAAAAUUCUGUUUCCUAAGUCA
This 523-nucleotide long non-coding RNA is filed under the name Pogona vitticeps (central bearded dragon). Its description in RNAcentral is "lncRNA (ENSPVIG00000020950.1)". Lineage: Eukaryota; Metazoa; Chordata; Lepidosauria; Squamata; Agamidae. The record is from RNAcentral.